AACGAACGCCGGCGGCAUGCCUAACACAUGCAAGUCGAACGAAGGCUUCGGCCUUAGUGGCGCACGGGUGCGUAACGCGUAGGAAUCUGCCCUUUGGUUCGGAAUAACAGCUGGAAACGGCUGCUAAUACCGGAUGAUGACGAAAGUCCAAAGAUUUAUCGCCAGAGGAUGAGCCCGCGUUGGAUUAGGUAGUUGGUGGGGUAAAGGCCUACCAAGCCGACGAUCCAUAGCUGGUCUGAGAGGAUGAUCAGCCACACUGGGACUGAGACACGGCCCAGACUCCUACGGGAGGCAGCAGUGGGGAAUAUUGGACAAUGGGCGCAAGCCUGAUCCAGCAAUGCCGCGUGAGUGAUGAAGGCCCUAGGGUUGUAAAGCUCUUUUACCCGGGAAGAUAAUGACUGUACCGGGAGAAUAAGCCCCGGCUAACUCCGUG
This 433-nucleotide ribosomal RNA is filed under the name uncultured bacterium. Its description in RNAcentral is "partial 16S ribosomal RNA". It matches the Rfam family "Bacterial small subunit ribosomal RNA", at positions 29 to 507 of the family's 1533-position model. The record is from RNAcentral.